RNAcentral lists this ribosomal RNA (253 nucleotides) under uncultured bacterium. RNAcentral's name for it is "partial 16S ribosomal RNA". It matches the Rfam family "Bacterial small subunit ribosomal RNA", at positions 524 to 776 of the family's 1533-position model. The record is from RNAcentral.
GUCGGGGGGUGGAAGCGCUAUCGGGAAUCACUGUGCGUAAAGCGUCUGUAGGUGGUGAUGCAAGUCACUGGUGCAAAACUCUGGCUCAACCGGAGGAAAGCCAGUGAAACUGCAUGACUAGAGUGUGGGAGAGGUAGAAGGAAUUCCCUGAGUAGCGGUGAAAUGCGUAGAGACAGGGAAGAACACCGGAGGCGAAAGCGUUCUACUGGAACACAACUGACAAUGAGAGACGAAAGAUAGGGGAGCGAAUGGG